UAAACAUUCCAUUGGAAAAAACUAAACAAUUUGUUAUAAAACAUCCUUAAAAGCAUCAGAAAGUUAAUACAGCAACAAAGAAUUACAGGACCAAAUUAAGAAUGGUCUGCCAGCAACAACUUCAGUUAAUAUUUCUGUUUAUCUGGGUGCUGUCAUCUAUAUGAUCUCAGUAUUUUAAAAAUCAGCUUCCAGCCCAUAUGGUGGCUCAUGCUUGUAAUACCAGCAGUUGAAGAGGCUGAAAUGAGAGGAUUCCUUGAGCCCAGGAGUUCAAGGAGUUCAAGAGAAACCUGGGCAACAUGGCAAGACCCAGUCUCUAUCAAAAGUUAAAAAAAAAAGGUGGGCAUAGUGAUGUGCACCUGUUGUCCUAGCAAUUUGGGAGGCCAAGGUGGAAGGAUUGCUUGAGCUUGGGAGGUUGAAUCUACAGUGAGCAGUGAUUGCACCACUGCACCCCAGCCUGGGCAACAAAGCAAGACCCUAUCUCAAAAAAUAUAUAUAAUAAAAAUAAAAAUCAGCUCUUAUUGAUUUCUACAUAAAUAUGCACAGGUGAUGUCCAUGUAGACAUAAAUACUAAUAUAUCUGACAAUGGGUCCAUAUGAUCUUCAAAAUGUAAAAUGCCUAUCUGUGUAAUUGACUGCUUAGUCUCAUUAAUGUAUAUAGAUUCAAUUCUACUUUCUUGUUCUAGAUAAAUUAUAUAAUCUAGCUUUUCAUUUCACUUAUUUACUGAUAACAACAGGAAGAAUGACAAGAUAUCUACUCUGGAAAAUUACUCUGGUAGGAGUAAAGAUGAAACGAUAGAAUUGCAUGGAAAACUAGAAAAAAGUAUGGUCUUCUGAUAUUCUAUCACAUCAUAUACAAAAGGCCUCAUAAAACUCAGAUAUUUUAUCUAAAAAUGUUAUUUUCAUCUUAGGGAUGAUCAAAGCAUGAGACUAGAAUUGUAUUACAAUGACUCUCACAAGCACAUGUGCUAAAAAGGAGGGGAAAACAUCAUUACUGAUAUUUUAUACGUAUGUUUUACUUUCCAUCAACAUGAACCUCAACUUGAUAUGAUGCAGAUUGAAGGAAAUCACCCAUAAUUCCAUAUGAAGAAGGCCUGUGAUAUUUUAUGGGAAAAUAGAUAGAGAAAAUGCUAACAGAAACCCUAUUAAGCAUUAAGAUUUAUGGAGCAAAUACAAAUCCAGUGGUGAAAGAUACACACUUGAGUUCUGUUUGUUGUCUUGGAACAAUAUGGUUUAGAGGUGACUGGUGG
This 1246-nucleotide long non-coding RNA is filed under the name Homo sapiens (human). Its description in RNAcentral is "HSALNT0238755". The record is from RNAcentral. Lineage: Eukaryota; Metazoa; Chordata; Mammalia; Primates; Hominidae.